UAGUCCACGCCGUAAACGAUGGAUACUAGGUGUAGGAGGUAUCGACCCCUCCUGUGCCGCAGCUAACGCAAUAAGUAUCCCACCUGGGGAGUACGGUCGCAAGACUGAAACUCAAAGGAAUUGACGGGGCUCACACAAGCGGUGGAGGAUGUGGUUUAAUUCGAAGCAACGCGAAGAACCUUACCAGGCCUUGACAUUCUAGGAUCAAGCCAGUGAAAGCUGGUGGCUUAUCGCAAGAUGUAACUAGAACAGGUGCUGCAUGGCUGUCGUCAGCUCGUGCCGUGAGGUGUUAGGUUAAGUCCUUUAACGAGCGAAACCCCUAUUGUUAGUUGCCAGCGCGUAAUGGCGGGGACUCUAGCAAGACUGCCGCGUCCAAGUUGGAGGAAGGUGGGGACGACGUCAAGUCAUCAUGGCCCUUAUGGUCUGGGCUACACACGUCCUACAAUGGUCGGUACAAAGGGCUGCAAUGUCGCGAGGCGGAGCAAAUCCUUAAAGCCGGCCCCAGUUCGG
Molecule: ribosomal RNA, 510 nt
Filed under: uncultured bacterium
Lineage: Bacteria
Description: bacterial SSU rRNA
Rfam family: Bacterial small subunit ribosomal RNA
Source: RNAcentral